Molecule: long non-coding RNA, 693 nt
Filed under: Homo sapiens (human)
Lineage: Eukaryota; Metazoa; Chordata; Mammalia; Primates; Hominidae
Description: PEF1 and COL16A1 antisense RNA 1
Source: RNAcentral
GGCCAGGCGGUUGCCCUGACAACGGGGAACCGACCGACUCUUCCCGGUAGGGAGAGGCGAUGGCGGAAUUACUCCUCUAAUGUCAAGGUAUUCUAAUCACAGAAUUACUGGAGCAUCAAGAAGUGCCUGCAUGCUUGGAAGGGCUUCCAGGCAGAUGAACACACCUCAGCACCGGGUGGCAUUUUCCCAGGGUGCAACCCGGACCGGCUCUGGGUCACACUGACAAGUGCACCCCUCCUGAGCUGAAGUGUUCCUGUUCUCUCUGCAGCCUCUCCGACUCCCCAGGCUGGGUUGGGUGCUCCUCCCUCUCAUCCCACAGCGCUAUGUCUCAUGUCUUCUGGAAAACUUGCCAAUCCCUAGUGACAACAGGGUUAACAAUUUCCAGAGACAGCCCGUACAUAGAAGGAAUGUUUACUGAAAAAAAUGAAGAGGGGUCAGGGCAAGGCGAGGAGCAAGAAGCACCCCCAAGGAAACAGAGAAGACCAGUACAACUGUACCUCUUUGCCAGCUGCACCAUCCGUACCAGUCUCCUGGGGUGGAAGUGUCCAGCACAGAGACUGCCACACUGCAAGACGAAGGGGCUGGACACACGGAAGAGAGAGGCGGAACCCUGCACCCCCUCAACCUCAGCCCUACUGAGUCUCCAAUGGGGCCACGCUUCUGAGUGCACCUCCCCGUGUCAUCUGUAAUGUG